GCUGAGCAAUGUCAAGAUUUAGAAGUGUACAGCUCUCCUUUUCUCCCUUCUCAAUGAUUUUAUUUCCUGUAGUUUGUAGGAGGACUUUCAGAGAGCUGUUCUCUUUAUCCUUCUCUGUGGCUCUGGCUCUUUUCUGUAUCAUAGAGAAGUUAAAAAGAGUUGAUUAUCAUCUACUCUCCUAGGGUGGUCAAGACUUGAGGAUUCAGAGGCUGUUUCUCAAUUUAAGUCUCUAAGAAUAUGCCCUUCAGCCUUCUUACCUUGACUUCUGGAACUUUAUUGGUGAAAAAAAACUACGGCAUGACUCUGACAAUCCUUUGAAGUCAUGAAUAUACAAGAGCAUGAAUAAGAGAAGAAAAGAUGGAAGAUAAAAAGCAGAAGGCACUAUUCACAAUAGCGAAGACAUGGAAUCAAUCUAAAUCCCCAUCAAUGACAGAUUGGAUAAAGAAAAUGUGCUACAUAUACACAAUGGAAUUCUAUGCAGCCAUAAAAAAAGAAUGAGAUCGUGUCUUUUGUGGGAACCAGGAUGGAGCUGGAGGUUAUUAUCCUUAACAAGCUAAUGCAGGAACAGAAAACCAAAUACUGCAUGUUCUCACUUGUAAGUCAGAGCUAAAUGAUAAGAACUUACAAACACAAAGAGGGAAACAACAGACACUGGUGUCUACUUGAAGGGAGAAGGUGAGAAGAGAGAUAGAAGCAGAAAAAAUAACUACUGGGUAGUGGGCUUAAUACCUGGGUGAUGAAAUAAUAUGUAAAACAAACCCCCAUUACAGGUGUUUACCUAUGAAACAAACCUUCACAUGUACCCC
Molecule: long non-coding RNA, 806 nt
Organism: Homo sapiens (human)
Lineage: Eukaryota; Metazoa; Chordata; Mammalia; Primates; Hominidae
Product: long intergenic non-protein coding RNA 2742
Source: Ensembl